GAUGAACGCUGGCGGCGUGCCUAAUACAUGCAAGUCGAGCGAACGGACGAGAAGCUUGCUUCUCUGAUGUUAGCGGCGGACGGGUGAGUAACACGUGGAUAACCUACCUAUAAGACUGGGAUAACUUCGGGAAACCGGAGCUAAUACCGGAUAAUAUUUUGAACCGCAUGGUUCAAAAGUGAAGGACGGUCUUGCUGUCACUUAUAGAUGGAUCCGCGCUGCAUUAGCUAGUUGGUAAGGUAACGGCUUACCAAGGCAACGAUGCAUAGCCGACCUGAGAGGGAGAUCGGCCACCCUGGAACUGGGACACGGUCCAGACUCCUACGGGAGGCAGCAGUAGGGAAACUUCCGCAAUGGGCGAAAGCCUGACGGAGCAACGCCGCGUGAGUGAUGAAGGUCUUCGGAUCGGAAAACUCUGUUAUUAGGGAAGAACAUAUGUGUAAGUAACUGUGCACAUCUUGACGGUACCUAAUCAGAAAGCCACGGCUAACUACGUG
Molecule: ribosomal RNA, 497 nt
Filed under: uncultured bacterium
Lineage: Bacteria
Description: partial 16S ribosomal RNA
Rfam family: Bacterial small subunit ribosomal RNA
Source: RNAcentral